RNAcentral lists this ribosomal RNA (644 nucleotides) under Clitocybe sp. UBC F16297. Its description in RNAcentral is "eukaryotic LSU rRNA". It matches the Rfam family "Eukaryotic large subunit ribosomal RNA", at positions 1 to 625 of the family's 3401-position model. Lineage: Eukaryota; Fungi; Basidiomycota; Agaricomycetes; Agaricales; Clitocybaceae. The record is from RNAcentral.
UGACCUCAAAUCAGGUAGGACUACCCGCUGAACUUAAGCAUAUCAAUAAGCGGAGGAAAAGAAACUAACAAGGAUUCCCCUAGUAACUGCGAGUGAAGCGGGAAAAGCUCAAAUUUAAAAUCUGGCGGUCCUUGUGGCUGUCCGAGUUGUAAUCUAGAGAAGUGCUAUCCGCGCUGGACCGUGUACAAGUCUCCUGGAACGGAGCGUCAUAGAGGGUGAGAAUCCCGUCUUUGACACGGACUACCAGGGCUUUGUGAUGUGCUCUCAAAGAGUCGAGUUGUUUGGGAAUGCAGCUCUAAAUGGGUGGUAAAUUCCAUCUAAAGCUAAAUAUUGGCGAGAGACCGAUAGCGAACAAGUACCGUGAGGGAAAGAUGAAAAGAACUUUGGAAAGAGAGUUAAACAGUACGUGAAAUUGUUGAAAGGGAAACGCUUGAAGUCAGUCGCGUUGGCCGGGGAUCAACCUUGCUCUUUUGCUUGGCGUACUUUCCGGUCGACGGGUCAGCAUCAAUUUUGACCGGUGGAUAAAGGUCAGGGGAAUGUGGCAUCUUCGGAUGUGUUAUAGCCCUUGGUCGCAUACAUCGAUUGGGAUUGAGGAACUCAGCACGCCGCAAGGCCGGGUCUUUGACCACGUACGUGCUAGGAUG